Long non-coding RNA from Impatiens glandulifera, 511 nucleotides. RefSeq lists it as uncharacterized. The record is from RefSeq and is a predicted model, not a curated record. Lineage: Eukaryota; Viridiplantae; Streptophyta; Magnoliopsida; Ericales; Balsaminaceae. The transcript has 2 exons.
AUUUAGAGCAUGUAUGGGUGGUCACAAAGAGAGUUCAUCAGCAACGGCUCCGCCAUAUAUGAUGCCGCCCAUUAAUCAUGGUCCGUCGUCGGCUGCCGGAGCUUAUCUCUCUCCGGCGACAGCGACGGGAUACCCGCUGAACAUUGGUGCUGGUCCUCAUACAGUUUUUGAAGGUGUUAAACCACACAAGCCAUCUCCUCCUCCUCCUCUUGUCAAAAUCAAAUGCAUAUUUUGUGGCCCUCCUCCUUGCUUCAUGUGCUACAAAUUAUGUUGUUUUUCCACGUGCUGUUGUUGCUGUUGUGCCAAUACAUGUUAUUAAUUUAUAAUUGAAAUUAUUUGUAAGUUCUUAUGCUAUAACAUUUAUAUGACCUAUAAUAUGUAUAUUUUGUAAACAACUGAAUAGCUUGAUAAAAAAAAAUAUGUAUUUUGUGUUAUGUUUUGGCAUAGCUUAAUUAUUAUAAUGUGUACAUUUCUUCAUCAAUUUUUAAAAUAGAUUACUAAUUUAUAAGUA